UUCAUUACAUCAUGUUGAACUUGUCUGGCAUGUAUCCACCACUUAAAUAACUUCUAUAAGCAAUUUUUUUUAAUUAAUAAUGUCGGAAGUAUAUAUAUUAAAGAAGAGUAAGAUGACCACACAAUAAAAGUUUUGACUGGGGUGGAGAGGCUUAAGGAAAAAGAGAACAGAGUGAAAUGAGAGGAUGCAGAAAUAUAAUAGAAUACGGAUAAAAUAUUUACAACUUUGAUGCAAGUAGCUGCAAGAAUUCAAAUCAGUUGGGUUAACUACACAAAUCCCUCUCUUUCUUUCUAAUUUCUAUUUUGUCUUAAAAGAUAUUGUGAUAUCAAAUCUUUUAUCAUUUUGCCCCCAUGUCACUACUCAUUUAUUUCGUUCCUGCUACUUGAGUACCACUCUUCAACGCUAAUGUGUCCAUGGCCAAGCUUGUAAGGUGAAUACCCCCCUGGAUAUUAGAAAGAUGGUUACCCCCUGCCCUGGAUAUGAGAAAGUUGGUGUCAAAACAUAAGUGAGCAAAGUUUUCAACUGAUCAACAAAUUAAUCUAGAUUAAGCAAAGAAUUCUCCUAACAAUCGCCGACUCCCAAAAUUGGACCUUCAACCACCUUCAGAAUUAAACUUGACAACUCUAAACCAUUUUUAUAAUCUCCUGAGUUGACUAAUCAUACUAAUUGCAAAACAAACGUGUGUUCAACUAAACCAAAUUACUGUGGAUCAAAAAUCAUUUGAUCCAAACAAUCUGAGCUGCUAAAAUAAAACACAAGAUAGGACUUCCAGCUACCGUCAAAAUCAAACUUGACAGUUCUGCAACUUAAGAGUGUAAACAUAACAGAAACAAAAACAUACUCUAUCACAGAA
Molecule: long non-coding RNA, 853 nt
Organism: Populus euphratica (Euphrates poplar)
Lineage: Eukaryota; Viridiplantae; Streptophyta; Magnoliopsida; Malpighiales; Salicaceae
Exons: 2
Source: RefSeq, a predicted model, not a curated record